UACGGAGGGAGCUAGCGUUGUUCGGAAUUACUGGGCGUAAAGCGCGCGUAGGCGGCUUUGUAAGUUAGAGGUGAAAGCCCGGGGCUCAACCCCGGAACUGCCUUUAAGACUGCAUCGCUUGAAUCCGGGAGAGGUGAGUGGAAUUCCGAGUGUAGAGGUGAAAUUCGUAGAUAUCGGGAGGAACACCAGAGGCGAAGGCGGCGACCUGGAAGGUGACUGACACUGAGCAGCGAAAGCGUGGGGAGCAAACAGG
RNAcentral lists this ribosomal RNA (253 nucleotides) under uncultured bacterium. RNAcentral describes it as "partial 16S ribosomal RNA". It matches the Rfam family "Bacterial small subunit ribosomal RNA", at positions 524 to 776 of the family's 1533-position model. The record is from RNAcentral.